Long non-coding RNA from Siniperca chuatsi (mandarin fish), 647 nucleotides. RefSeq lists it as uncharacterized. The transcript is spliced from 2 exons. NCBI's taxonomy places the organism in Eukaryota, Metazoa, Chordata, Actinopteri, Centrarchiformes, Sinipercidae. The record is from RefSeq and is a predicted model, not a curated record.
GCCAUUAUAUAAAUACAAUUGAACUGAAUUGAAUCUUAUGCAAUUCUUUCUUCUUUUGCUUUAUCAGCUGCAGUGUUCUUCUAUUUGCAGGGAGAUGGUGCCAGCCUCGGGCCCUUCAUGAGGAGACUUUAUGCAGUCACAGAUGCCAGAGGACAUGACCGGAACAAUAAAUACGUCAGCAAGGAAUGCAGUAAGUAACUCUUCAUAUUGCUGUUAUCAACACUAUUUGUCACAUUUUCUCUUUCACAGUAUGUCCGUUCAAUAUACAAGUGUCAUCUACUCAUUGGCAUUAAAGCCAGAAACUGGACAUGGAGCUAAAAAUUAAGAAGUUGGAGAUAAACAAGUAUAAAUUCAAACACAGCAGAAGGUCAUGGUUGGGUCUUUAAUUCAUGUCUUUGUUUUUUGUCUUCACAGCUUGAACAAAAUGAGUGAAUUAAUAAACAACUUCCAACACAACUGUGGCACAUUUAAGCUUGACAGUUAGCCUGCAUUAUUACUUUCCCGAAAUUUGGAGGUGGUGUCUGAAAUUGGACACAAUGUGCAGUGUACACAAUACAGUGUGAUGUUGUCUUGAUCAGCAGACAAGGGACACUGUACAUUCAAUUAUAUGAAUUAAAACUCAUAAUGUGGCAGCUUGCAGUAGUUUA